RNAcentral lists this ribosomal RNA (584 nucleotides) under Flavobacterium sp. FlavoEI_AT7r3AA6_C01_03. RNAcentral's name for it is "bacterial SSU rRNA". It matches the Rfam family "Bacterial small subunit ribosomal RNA", at positions 66 to 651 of the family's 1533-position model. Lineage: Bacteria; Pseudomonadati; Bacteroidota; Flavobacteriia; Flavobacteriales; Flavobacteriaceae. The record is from RNAcentral.
GGGGUAUGCUUCUUCGGGAGCAGAGACCGGCGCACGGGUGCGUAACGCGUAUGCAAUCUACCUUUUACAGAGGGAUAGACCAGAGAAAUUUGGAUUAAUACCUCAUAGUAUGCAGAGUUGGCAUCAACCCUGCAUUAAAGUCACAACGGUAAAAGAUGAGCAUGCGUCCCAUUAGCUAGUUGGUAAGGUAACGGCUUACCAAGGCUACGAUGGGUAGGGGUCCUGAGAGGGAGAUCCCCCACACUGGUACUGAGACACGGACCAGACUCCUACGGGAGGCAGCAGUGAGGAAUAUUGGACAAUGGGCGCAAGCCUGAUCCAGCCAUGCCGCGUGCAGGAUGACGGUCCUAUGGAUUGUAAACUGCUUUUAUACAGGAAGAAACACUCCGACGUGUCGGAGCUUGACGGUACUGUAAGAAUAAGGAUCGGCUAACUCCGUGCCAGCAGCCGCGGUAAUACGGAGGAUCCAAGCGUUAUCCGGAAUCAUUGGGUUUAAAGGGUCCGUAGGCGGUUUAAUAAGUCAGUGGUGAAAGCCCAUCGCUCAACGGUGGAACGGCCAUUGAUACUGUUAGACUUGAAUUAUU